UACGUAGGGAGCAAGCGUUGUCCGGAAUCAUUGGGCGUAAAGCGCGCGCAGGCGGCCCUUUAAGUCCAUCGGUCAAAUGCCGGAGCUCAACUCCGUGCGUGCCGAGGAUACUGCCGGGCUAGAGUCCGGAAGAGGCGAGUGGAACUCCUGGUGUAGCGGUGGAAUGCGCAGAUAUCAGGAAGAACACCCGUGGCUAAGGCGGCUCUCUAGUACGGUACUGACGCUGAGACGCGAAAGCGUGGGGAGCGAACAGG
Molecule: ribosomal RNA, 254 nt
Filed under: uncultured bacterium
Lineage: Bacteria
Description: partial 16S ribosomal RNA
Rfam family: Bacterial small subunit ribosomal RNA
Source: RNAcentral